GACGAACGCUGGCGGCGUGCUUAACACAUGCAAGUCGAACGAGUGGGAACGGGUGAGUAACACGUGGGUAACCUCCCAUCAGAGGGGAUAACACUUGGAAACAGGUGCUAAAACGAUACUGAUGGAUGAACCCGCGGUGAAUUAGCUAGUUGGGGAGGUAACGGCUCACCAAGGCCACGAUGCAUAGCCGACCUGAGAGGGUGAUCGGCACCACUGGGACUGAGCCACGGCCCAUACUCCUACGGGAGGCAGCAGUAGGGAAUCGUCGGCAAUGGACGAAAGUCUGACCGAGCAACGCCGAGUGAGUGAAAAAGGUUUUCGGAUCGUAAACCUCUGUUGUUAGAGAAGCGGUAUCUAACCAGAAAGCCACGGCUAACUACGUGCCAGCAGCCGCGGUAAUAC
RNAcentral lists this ribosomal RNA (402 nucleotides) under uncultured bacterium. RNAcentral's name for it is "partial 16S ribosomal RNA". It matches the Rfam family "Bacterial small subunit ribosomal RNA", at positions 28 to 526 of the family's 1533-position model. The record is from RNAcentral.